Molecule: ribosomal RNA, 1207 nt
Filed under: Lactiplantibacillus plantarum
Lineage: Bacteria; Bacillati; Bacillota; Bacilli; Lactobacillales; Lactobacillaceae
Description: bacterial SSU rRNA
Rfam family: Bacterial small subunit ribosomal RNA
Source: RNAcentral
UAACGGCUCACCAUGGCAAUGAUACGUAGCCGACCUGAGAGGGUAAUCGGCCACAUUGGGACUGAGACACGGCCCAAACUCCUACGGGAGGCAGCAGUAGGGAAUCUUCCACAAUGGACGAAAGUCUGAUGGAGCAACGCCGCGUGAGUGAAGAAGGGUUUCGGCUCGUAAAACUCUGUUGUUAAAGAAGAACAUAUCUGAGAGUAACUGUUCAGGUAUUGACGGUAUUUAACCAGAAAGCCACGGCUAACUACGUGCCAGCAGCCGCGGUAAUACGUAGGUGGCAAGCGUUGUCCGGAUUUAUUGGGCGUAAAGCGAGCGCAGGCGGUUUUUUAAGUCUGAUGUGAAAGCCUUCGGCUCAACCGAAGAAGUGCAUCGGAAACUGGGAAACUUGAGUGCAGAAGAGGACAGUGGAACUCCAUGUGUAGCGGUGAAAUGCGUAGAUAUAUGGAAGAACACCAGUGGCGAAGGCGGCUGUCUGGUCUGUAACUGACGCUGAGGCUCGAAAGUAUGGGUAGCAAACAGGAUUAGAUACCCUGGUAGUCCAUACCGUAAACGAUGAAUGCUAAGUGUUGGAGGGUUUCCGCCCUUCAGUGCUGCAGCUAACGCAUUAAGCAUUCCGCCUGGGGAGUACGGCCGCAAGGCUGAAACUCAAAGGAAUUGACGGGGGCCCGCACAAGCGGUGGAGCAUGUGGUUUAAUUCGAAGCUACGCGAAGAACCUUACCAGGUCUUGACAUACUAUGCAAAUCUAAGAGAUUAGACGUUCCCUUCGGGGACAUGGAUACAGGUGGUGCAUGGUUGUCGUCAGCUCGUGUCGUGAGAUGUUGGGUUAAGUCCCGCAACGAGCGCAACCCUUAUUAUCAGUUGCCAGCAUUAAGUUGGGCACUCUGGUGAGACUGCCGGUGACAAACCGGAGGAAGGUGGGGAUGACGUCAAAUCAUCAUGCCCCUUAUGACCUGGGCUACACACGUGCUACAAUGGAUGGUACAACGAGUUGCGAACUCGCGAGAGUAAGCUAAUCUCUUAAAGCCAUUCUCAGUUCGGAUUGUAGGCUGCAACUCGCCUACAUGAAGUCGGAAUCGCUAGUAAUCGCGGAUCAGCAUGCCGCGGUGAAUACGUUCCCGGGCCUUGUACACACCGCCCGUCACACCAUGAGAGUUUGUAACACCCAAAGUCGGUGGGGUAACCUUUUAGGAACCAGCCGCC